Molecule: ribosomal RNA, 251 nt
Filed under: uncultured Eubacteriales bacterium
Lineage: Bacteria; Bacillati; Bacillota; Clostridia; Eubacteriales
Description: uncultured Clostridiales bacterium partial 16S ribosomal RNA
Rfam family: Bacterial small subunit ribosomal RNA
Source: RNAcentral
UAAAGUGGAUUAGCGGCGGACGGGUGAGUAACACGUGAGUAACCUGCCUUAGACAUUGGGAUAGCCUCGGGAAACCGGGAUUAAUACCAAAUAAAAUCAUAAUGACACAUGUCAUAACGAUCAAAACUCCGGUGGCCUAAGAUGGACUCGCGUCCCAUUAGCUAGUUGGUAGAGUAAAAGCCUACCAAGACGACGAUGGGUAGCCGGCCUGAGAGGGUGAACGGCCACAUUGGAACUGAGAAACGGUCCAA